Molecule: long non-coding RNA, 387 nt
Organism: Oncorhynchus tshawytscha (Chinook salmon)
Lineage: Eukaryota; Metazoa; Chordata; Actinopteri; Salmoniformes; Salmonidae
Exons: 2
Source: RefSeq, a predicted model, not a curated record
CUCCCUACUUCCCCAUAAAAUGCGCACAUGUGGCAACUCGUGCACAGUUAAUGUGGUCGGGCUCUUAAAGAGACAAAAUUUCGACCUAUCAGCAUCACACAAAAUUACGAUAUAAAAUGUUAAAAUACAGAGGAGCCAGGGGUUGUUAUGGUUUUCACCUGACCUCUGUUUGCCAGAUAAAAGGAGUUAAAUAUGACCAUGUACUUCGGUUGCAGGGUCUGAAUAUUGAGGCCGGGGCUGAAGACAUACGAAGAUUCUGUUAUGGGUGUAAGAUGGCACAGUGAUGCCAUCUGUUGGUAAAUGUUAAUUACUGCAACUCUUGUGUUUUACCGGUGUGCUUGAGACCCGGAUGUGUUGUCAUGUACUGAACAAGACUGGUUACUCGCA